This is a non-coding RNA of Cajanus cajan (pigeon pea), 193 nucleotides long. The record is from RefSeq and is a predicted model, not a curated record. Lineage: Eukaryota; Viridiplantae; Streptophyta; Magnoliopsida; Fabales; Fabaceae.
AGGGACAUGAUCAACACUUGGGGAAUUGGGAGAGUGACUUUGUUAGGUGAUGCAGCACAUCCAAUGCAACCAAAUCUUGGUCAGGGGGGUUGUAUGGCAAUAGAGGAUUGUUACCAACUGAUACUUGAGCUUGACAAAGUUACUAAACAUGGGUCUGACGAGUCUGAAGUUAUCUCAGCCCUUAGAAGGUAUG